This is a long non-coding RNA of Triticum dicoccoides, 448 nucleotides long. RefSeq lists it as uncharacterized. The transcript is spliced from 2 exons. The record is from RefSeq and is a predicted model, not a curated record. NCBI's taxonomy places the organism in Eukaryota, Viridiplantae, Streptophyta, Magnoliopsida, Poales, Poaceae.
AGUCAUGGUUGCUGUGGCCCAAGUCAAGCUGAAGAGAGUAGAAACACGUACAGUUCUGUUGGUAGUUGUGUCCCAAGAAGCCAUGGAGUGGAUUCUGUACUUCAGGUUCGCUGGCUCAGAACUUGGAAGCGAACAAGUGCCAUGGCGAACUGCUUUGAGCUUGAUGAAGUGCAUAUGAAGGCAAAGGUUGCUGGAUGUUACAUACUCCCUUCGUUCCAAAAUAGAUGACCCAAUUUUGUACUAAUGCUUUACUUUCAAAUUCUCUGAAUUCUUUCACGUAACAUUUCUUGCUUAUAGGUUCUAUCUUGUUUUAAGUUGCCUGGUGGUGUAUGAGCAAGGCUGGAGAUAUAUAGGCUUAUAGUCCAACAGUCAGAGGUUGAUUUGCUAUUCCUCGGUCUAUGUAAAUGUAUAAAUCGAUGAUGAUGUACAAACAAAUGAUAUUUUGUUU